AAUAAUGUCACUACCCUUUUCCGCAUCAUUUACUAAAAUAAUGAUCUCAUUAUUUCCUAUUCUAGCAAAACCACCCAUCAGAGCCAUCGUUAACCAUUGGUCCUUAAAGCGUAUUCUCAAAAUCCCUAUAUCUAUAGCUGUAGCGGUAUCUGAAAACAUAUCUUGAGGACGCCCUAAAGCGCUCAUGGUAUCAUUAUGAAUAUAUAAACCAAAACUGUGAAAGCCUAGAAAGAUACAUGCCCAGUUGAGAUGUGAUAUGAUUGCAUCACGAUGUCUAAGGACACGAUCUAAUAGAUCGUUGUAUCGAGUAGUUGGAUCAUAGUCUUUUGACCUUUGAGGGGGAGCCUCU
RNAcentral lists this long non-coding RNA (349 nucleotides) under Olea europaea subsp. europaea. The record is from RNAcentral. Lineage: Eukaryota; Viridiplantae; Streptophyta; Magnoliopsida; Lamiales; Oleaceae.